UUUUUUUUUUUAAGCAUAGCAAUCUUAGCAGUUUGAAGGGAUUUUUCCAUGAAGGCAGGUAUUAAAAGAGCCAGGAACUGAAUACUGGCUCCAUGUGUAGCAUUUCCUGUUGUUCAUUUUUUUUCAGUUUUCUCUUCUUCAGAGAGAUGAAGAAAUCACCUGUGACCAGCAUUGGAUAUUUAAAAACUCUUACUCAGUGUAACUAAUUUGGAAUAAGAAAGCUUCCUCUGAGUUCAGCAGAGGCAACUUAACUUCAUAGAUUCCUCAUUAGUAGUAGUUUCACCAGAAGCAUAUACAUGAAGUUGACUUCAGGACAGUUUCGUUAGAAUAAUUUCAUUCACAUUAACAUACUUUGAAAGUGUAGGUGGUUUAUGUUUGCUUUUGUAUUAAGAUCUGUUCUGAAGAAAACCACAGCAAGGUACUUUUCUAAAAAGCUGUCAGAAUCUGCAAGAACUAUGUUGCAGGUUUCAUGCUAACGUAAGACUUGAAUUAAUAUAAAGGGAGAAAAAAACCUCAUUGCUUGUCUUGCGGUGAGCCAUAGAUGGAUAUAAGCCUUGACAGUGAGUACAAUGGAAGCUGGUUUCAGAAUCCUUAUAGAAAUUUUCUGUGAGAACGAUCCUUCAUUAAAAUGAGGAAGGGUCUGGAAGGUCAUAAAUCUAUCGGAUUUGAAGUAUUCUGUUAUGGAGUUGCAACUUGGUUUUGCUUGUUGUGAACUUACAAUGGGAACGGUGUAAUAAAUGAUACUUAACAGUUCUUAGUGGCUUACUAAUCUGAUAAGUACCGAGUUAGGUUUAUUGAUGUUCUGAGCCAUUGGGAUUGUCAUGUUUCUGUACUAACAAAAAAUCUUAAUACCUCAUGUGGUGUUAGCUGAUCAGUAAGUCUCAGACUAAGUAGUUUCUGCUUUUUGAGGUACUUGGUCUUUUUUAAGGUUGAAAUUAGUAGGGAUUUCUAAUGGGAAGUACUGAGGCUUGUUUUUCUGUAAUGCCAAGAGCUAAACUUUUACAGUUUAUUACCCUCACUAUAACAUUUUGAAGAGAACUGCUUUCAGUGGAUAAUAAAAUGAGAGGAGUACGCGGGUGAAUUGUGAAGAAGCAUUGCUGAUGUUCAGCAUCUCAGAAGUGAAGCUUCCUGGUUUGUAAAGGCAUUCUGAGGUUCACUGAGGUGUACACGCCACUCAGGUACAAAUUGCAGUGGAGUCGAUCAGCGGUCGCAUCUCAGCAAGGUUACAGAUUACCCUCAAUAAUGGCUCAGCCUAAAGGGUCAGUACAGAGUUACACUGGAGUGUUUAUAGUUUGUCAUUUUUUGUGGAGUUGGUCAAGUACAACUGCACGUCGAUGAUAAUCCACUUAUAUCUUGUAGUCUUAGAAAAACAAUAGUUAUUAGGAAUAACAUUUUUAAAGCAUCUUUUAAAUUUCUAUGCCCCCUUUCAAGACAACUCCCCCCCCCCCCAGCUUCUUGAUGAGCCUAUCUUGACAAGGGAGGUUCCUCUCACAGGAGUACCAAGUAUUUGUUUGGAAUUUAGAGGGUUGACCUAGGAGUGGUAGAACCACGUAUAUUCGUUCCUCAGUAAACCAUCCUUGUCUGCUCCCUGAGAAAAUUUCAGGUUGUGUGACAGUAGGAGAAAAGAAAUCCUCAAUUUGUGGGCAGAAUAAUAUAUGUGCCUUAACUAAGCUACUAACAAGUAUGUAAUCUAGGCUUAAAGGCAAAAUAGGUAAAUAACCUGGCAAACCACAAAGUAAAAGAACUUUAUUUGGCUGUUUUACAGCUUUGUGGAAUCUUUCUUGCUAUUAAUCAGUCUGUCCUUUUCCUGUGAAAGGUAGAUAUAUACUCUAAACUAGGCAUCAUCUAGCAGCCACAGCGAGAUGUGAAGGGAAUGUCAGGCGGUGAAGCUUGCCCAGGUUCAAACAUCAGUUCAAGAGCAGAUGCAGGUUCCUUGGACUUCAUGUGGAAAGGAUUCUCUCUCCUUACUAAGAUCAACAGGAUCAAGAAUAGAUGAGGCUUUGUGUAUCCUGAGUGCUCAUGGACAACACACAGAAGCAUUUGUUUCAUAGGCAGCCUUCAGUGGGGAAAAGUUGUCAGUUUCUCUGCAGGUGAGUAGUUAUUUUUGAAGACUUAAUAGGAGAUGGGAACGUUCCUGACUGUGGAAGGAAUGGGAGACAAAGCAUCCAGUGGAGAUGGGGUUGUAUAUUCUAAGUUCUUGGUGACACACAGGUGAGCAGCUUUGAACUAAAACACCUUGUGCUGUGUGCAAAGAUGUCUCCUUAUGUCCAGAACUGCUUCUCCAGAUAAUCUGUGACCUCGUUUCCUUCUUUGUGCUGGCUUUUUCCUCUGGGCAUCAGAAAACAAGAGGGGAGAGCCAGUACUGUACAGCUAGCUUGACUUCUCCAGACCUAAUGACCAACAAAAAUAAAAAGGAAGGGGAAUUGUGCAUUGGUGCUUGCUGUUGUGGUCCAGCAAAAUCCUCAGGCAGACUUUUCAGAAUUAAGACCAAGUAGUAUGCCAAGUUUCCUGAACAUAACUUAUCCCAGAAAUACACUGGGUAUAAACUAUACAUGACAGUGUGGUGAUAGGUUGGUACUCAAUUACAGUUUUACCAUAUCCAAAGUAGUGGAUGGUAAUGAUCAGUGGAGUUUGCUACAGUGCCUAAACAAAUAAUGUCUCAAGGGUCCAAUACAGGCCUCUGGGAAUGAUGGGUAUGAUAUUAAAGCCGCCUUUCCCCAUUUUGAUACCUUCAUUCUGAAGCAAAUCUGCUUUCUCAAAGGGAAAAUUGUUCCCUCUUGUAUCUGAAAUACACUGAACCCAACUUCAGGUUUAUCUAAAGCCUGCCAUUUCUAUGCAGUGUAAAGAGCUAUCUUAAAUUCAUCUGUUGAAACUUCAAAUCUCGAUCAUUACAAUUCUUAAAGGGAAAAAAUACCAGAAACAAGGUGUACAGAGUACCUGAAACUUUGGAGAUAAGAGAAAAUACUCGCGGCUCCUUAAGGGGAAGGAAAUAUAAUUCCUUUCAGUUUGAGAAGAAAGAUGGUAAGAUGAUUUUCAUAUUAACAUGCCCAUUUACUCGUAUAUACUUAGAAAUAUUUAUGUAUGUCUGAAAGAGGAAGCUUCAUGCCUAUCUUAUGUUUAAAGCAGUCUCUUUUUAUACUUCAGUGCAAUAAAACACAUUCACCAGGUAGUUUAUGUAAUAGCAAGUUAUUCAGUCACAAAUAAGCAACUGAUUUAGAAAGUGUGACUACUGAAUGAUGGUAUUCCCUCAUACAAUCUCAGUUCCUGUUAGCUCCAGUGUUUCCCACCUAGUUUCCCACCUAGAAUACUGGUUACCUAAAAUAAAAAGCAAAACUUUCAGUAGUGCAGAAAUUUGAUACUUAAAUUGGUAAAUAGAGCAGGCUGUGUUCUAGAUGAAAUGUUCACGUGGUCAGAAUUCAUUUAUUCAGAUGAAAUUAUCAGCUAAGAAAUGUGGUUCUAACUCCUUCAACUAGUCAUACAUUUAAACAUAGAACACCUUUAGCUAUCUCUUCCCAUGUGCUGAUUUCAUAACUUGUCCUGCUUUCAUUCAGCUCCUCUUACCUGCUCAGUACGCAUUCUCCUUCCCCGAAGGAGUGCUUUAGGGAACACCACCAUGCAGGUGGUGAGCAUGCAUUGUCACCAGGAACUAAAUUGCAGAUUAUCUGGGAGAAGUCACAAGUCUUUGUGGCUCAGAAGAGAGACUUAGCAAGGUAUGUGUACCAACAGGUCUGUGGAGGGAUCAUGGUCUCCUUCAGAAGCACCAUUACUGCCGGAACUAAAAGUGGUAUACAGCAAUAACGCCAUAGUACCACUGGUCUAUUUAAUAUUCCAGCAGUUUGGGGAACAAAUGGUUUGGCAUACCUUCAGAAACUUUGGCAGCUGCUGUCUGAUGACGGCAACAUUGAUCAGCUAUCAGCUGUAGAGAAGCCUGGCUUUGCAGAACCUGCUGUUGAGCCCUACUUCUUAAAUUUUCUCAUUUAAACUCACAUUCCUCUUACAGCAGAGUUUUACCAUUGGGCUUUGUGCUCAAUUUAUACAUAACAGUUAAUACUGACAAAUCACCCAUAUGCAUCAAGAAGUUUCUUCAAAAAACUUCAAAACUCAUCCUUGUGUACGAGGAGAAAUAAGUCUUUCUUCAGGCUUACAGAGGAUCAUCUUGUGCAUCAGUCUGUUAGCAUAAAAGAGAAUUUUUAUGCUUCUGUCAUACCCCAUAUUCUUGCCAGGAAAACUUAACAUGUAUGUCUCAUUAUUAUUUUUAUCUCUAGCCAUUCUAAAAAUGCCAUUUUUUUGCUGUACAUCAUAUAAAUGAAGGAAAAAUGUCCAAAAUACUGCAUACAUCCUCAGUCAACAAAUGGUAAUCAAAAUAGCCUGGGUUAUACAGCUAGCACUAACCAUUUCUGUGAAGUGGUUGAUGAAAAACUUAGCUGAAGCACAAACUAUUUUUUUUUUUUUUGAGGGUGAUAAUUAAUGUUGUUUAGCUCUUAACCUACACUGUUCCUAAAUGCUUCAUGUUCUCAGAGAAACCGGUUGCUCGAACUAAAAAUAUCCCUCCGGAAUGCUGACCUAACAAAAACACUUCAGGCAUCUGCUGUUGUACCUACAAAAGCUGAAGCAGUGGACUUCAGGGUACCAGCUUGCUUGUCACUACUUAAAAGAAAAAAAAAUCUCUAUAUCAGGGUUUACAUGAUCAACAGCAGGAGGCCUGACAGAUUUUAUCAGUAGAAUGCCUUCUCUGAUACAAGGUGACAGUCUUUAGUUGCACUGAGGCUUUUUUUCCACUUUAACAAGUCCUGUGUGUUGACUAGAAUUCAGUUAUGUGAAGACUUGAAGUUGGGGGAAUUUUUUCACUAUUUGAACAGGAAGAGGAAAAUAAAAUAAUAAUAAAAAAAACAACCUGGAGUUGUGUGCAAAUAAAACAAUAAUUCAUAAUCUGAAAUAAAAAAAGAUACAUUCAAGUGUAUCAAACCCCCCAAAUGAUUAAAUAGCUAUUUAACCAAGGCACUUAGGCAACUAAUAAAAAUUGUGGAAGUUCUGUUGAACAUUUUUGUUCUGCCUGUUGCAGCCUCUCCCUACUCCAGCACUACAAAACAAGAGACUAUAGAUCUGGAAAUGAGAUAGAGAGCAACAAAGAUGUCUAAAAGUACCAAGGUGCUCUCUUGAAGAAAAAUUAUUGAUGUAAGUUAAAAAUGCCAAAAAAUCAAUUCAUUUUCUAAAGGAUGGCUUGCUGAGGAGAUCAGGUUAAUUUUAUACAAUGAUAAGCAGCAAUCGUGCUGCAUAAGAAAUGAUUUUUUCACUAACACAAUAAUUUCACAAUACUAAAUGAAAGUUCUUGAGCCAUUCAUAAUGCAUCGUCACCCUCACAAGCAGAAUUAAGUGGUGGAAUGCCUCUCUGUGUGACUUUCGCGGGUGUUUAUGCUCAUGGUAGUUCAAAAACCAACCUGAAACUCGGGAAAGAAUUCCUUUUCAGGGUAUGCCCAAGAUUCAAAUCAGAGUCAAAGAAUAUUCUGGGAAAGUAUUAUAUUCUUUCCAUGCUUUUAUAACUCUUUCCUAGGUAUCCCCUGUUGGCCAUCAUCAAGCCAGGGAUGCUCACCUGGAUGAACAUUUGCUGAUCCAGCACAACUGUUUUAUGUAUCUGUUGUGAAAAACUUACACUGCACUUUGAAUCCUACAGGUCUCAUCUUAUUUAUGAGAGGCACAGGUGCUGCAUCACUGAGCAGUGUUUACCAGAAGUGCACAUCAUCUUACGAGUGCUUCCUUGACACUUUUUAAUUCAGCAGAAUCGAGAGAAUGUGGCUCAGAUUCCUCCUCAAACGUGAGAAUUUCACUCGUUAACCACCACGCUAUCAGUGGAAACAAACUCAGGAUGUGGCAUGCUUUGUGAAAAUAGUUACCUUUCCAGGGCAGGAUUUUCUUUAAACCCCAUUGUAAACAGAUAAUUUCAUUUAGAUUGAACUCUUAAACAUGUGCUAUAACAUUCUUUUAACUAUUUCCAUUAGUACAGCUCUUCUUUUGCAAUUUUUUUAUUGCAAAUUCUCAAAUCCAGCCACCAUGAAAAAUAUCCUCAAUAUUAGGUUAAAUUCCAUACCUAAACAGUUUAUCUCUUGCUCUUAUACUACAUAAACUGGAGAUUAUACCUUUGUCAAAUAUUUACCACAAACCUAAUAUUAAUUUCUUAAAGCAUUUAUGUAAUGUCUCCUCUAUAGGUCUAAUGCCUCUUUUUACAGAUAUUCUCUGUUGGAGGUUUUUUUUGGGGGGAGGUUGUUUGUUUGUUUGUUUUGGCCUGUAUUUCUUGUGGUCUGUAAAUUAUUGCCUUCUGCAGCCACUUUGCAAAUUUCCACUCUACGUCCUUGUUUUAAUGUCCCAUAAACUACUAUUUGUCAGAGGACAAAUUACUUUCACCUCUAAUAUACUCCAUUCUUGUCUCUGUUAUUUAAAAGACAAGCUGUGCAGAUCAAUGAUCUUUUGAGACAUUUCGCCUAUCUUUCUUAGCAAAUUUUUCCUUUCUUUCUGACAUUGUUCUCCCAAAGCAGCUCUUCUUCCCUGUUCUUCCAAAGACAAUUCAUGUGGGAUUUUGCCCAGUAAUCUAAACGCUCUGUUGCUGUGUCCAGAGGUUACCUUGUGCCCUGGGUUAUCGCUAUCCAAUUUAAUCUUGCAAUAUUGUGGAUCAACUCAUGGUUGGAGAAUGUGCUCAUCUAGGAAGCAAAGGUAGGAGCCCAGUCUCAUGGCGGGCAGCACACGGUCACACAAGCAACGAAUGCAGGUCUGUAUAGACAGUGCAGGGAGCUGACCCUCAAAAGACUGUAAAUCUGAUUAUUAGCAUGACUAUUCACGCAGUAACAGACAAAUGCACAUGACUGCAUUUGUAACAGUAGAACCAGUUUUGUUUACCUGAAUGCUUGUAAUUAUCUGAAUUCAUGAGUUGAAGCAGUAGCUUGGUGGACAUUCUUAAAGUUUUAAUCUGAAAAGUUGAAUUGCCUACUAAUGCUUAAUUUUCUUGGGAUCUGAGUCUGUUCACAUUUCUUACCUAUUUGCUGAAUAUUCUUUUGAAAUUUAUUUCAAGAAAGCUUUGUGCAGAAAAGUUGAAGUUAAAAAUUGAAAUGAAUCCUUUAAUUUCAGUUUUUAGAAAGAACCCACAGAAAUUAUCAGGACUUGUGGGGAAUGAUGCACAAGGGAAAACUAAUUCCUGACAGGUUAGAUAUGAAGGAUUGUAUGAUGCAAGUUAGCCUCAACAGCCUUAUCCUUGAGAAAAACAAGUAAAUUUGAAAAAGAGACAUUAUAGACAGAAGACAAAAACAAAAAGAAAACCUGAAGGGCAAAAACAGACUGUAUGCAGAGUAAAUUAAAUACAGUCUGCCUAUGUGAAUCUGUACUAUAGCUUGCUGCUUACAUAAAUAUUUAAGAUUAAACUAAAACACAAAGACAACAAAAAACAGUCUCAUUUUGUUAAAUAGAAUUUCUGUUUUGCUGGAAAGCAAGAAUCCUCAGUGUUUUUCAGUGUAGCAGAAGUCAGGCAUGGGCUGUAGAGGGUGGCCGGGACUGCACUGUGGGGGAGGAGGAUGGGUAAAGCAGGUUGUGGCAGUAUGUGACCAGCAGAGCAAAACUGAACUGAGGAAAGUAUUGAGGCUUCUCAGAUGACGAGGUGUAAUUACUGCCAAAUAGGAAUGUGGCAGUUUUAUGUGAAAUAAACAUAUGCUUGAACUUUGAAUCCGUAAUUUAAAAGAAACUUUACAUAAAGUACAGAACUCAGAUAGAAGCAGAAUUUGACUGUUGUUGGUUUGCUUUGAGAGUCACUACAUAUGUUCCAAAUACAUUAUGCUAGGUCAUCACAUCUCUAUGAAAUAUUUUAAAUGUUACACAUUUUAAAGAGUUAUUCCUUAUUAAAAGCAUUAAAAAAAAGACAAAAAAUCCCAAGAAGUUAAACUGAGAGGAUCAAGUUAGAAAGCAGUAAAUGUGCAUAUUCUGAGGAAAAUUAAUUUCCUCUGAACAGGCUGUACAGAGCCUUGCUGUAAAUGUGCACCUUAUUUGUGUGGGUGUAUUUUUUUUUUUUAAAUGCCUAAUAGAAAACAUGUGGACUGGCAUGAAAUAAUACUGUGCAGGCACUCUUAAGGAAAUCCAAUCCUGCCUGGGGCUUGUGCCAGGCUCUCUGAGAAAGGUCAGCAUUCUGAAGUCAAACUGCAGCAUUUCACCUGAUGUGGAGGUCAAGGGAAGUGUUGCAUAAAAUGACAACCAUCUGAGGGAUGUGUCUGAAGGCUAUUUUCAGCUUUCAUUUUCUUGAUAUUGACUCGUGUUCCCAGUGAGAGUUUUUCUUUCACAGAGAAUUACGGGCUUUCACUGUGGUUUUGUGAACAUGGCUUGUCUUCUCAACAGCACUUGUCCACGUGUCCUUUGCCCAAGUAUGCCUGUUUGGGGUUUGGGGUACACCAUAUAAAAGGCAACACCAGCUUCUCAAGGUAACUCAGAAAUAAGCAGGCGCUUCUGGCUGAGGAGGCUUUCUCAUAUUUGCAGCCCAGAAGCCCCUCUCGCUAUGAUUUCCUGGGAGCAGCUGCUGAGGCGCCUGUAUGUGUGCAGUGGCCCAUCUUCCCUCAUCUGCAGUGUCAUAACUUGGAGCUUCCCGAGCUGCGAUAACCACAGUGCUGACAAGAGCGUUCAGGCAGCGUGGGAACUCGUGACUUGCUCCGCACCUGAGGGCUGUUAUUAAUGUGAAGAUGGCUUGAAGCCUUCCUCACCAGCAAUAAACUACAUUCCAAACAA
Non-coding RNA from Meleagris gallopavo (turkey), 8751 nucleotides. NCBI's taxonomy places the organism in Eukaryota, Metazoa, Chordata, Aves, Galliformes, Phasianidae. The record is from RefSeq and is a predicted model, not a curated record.